This 222-nucleotide unclassified non-coding RNA is filed under the name plant metagenome. RNAcentral's name for it is "partial contains small subunit ribosomal RNA, internal transcribed spacer 1, and 5.8S ribosomal RNA". The stretch from base 1 to 53 matches the Rfam family "Eukaryotic small subunit ribosomal RNA", at positions 1779 to 1831 of the family's 1831-position model. The record is from RNAcentral.
GGAGUAAAAGUCGUAACAAGGUCUCCGUUGGUGAACCAGCGGAGGGAUCAUUAUCGAGUUUAUAACUCCCAAACCCUAUGUGAACUUACCACUUGUUGCUUCGGCGCGCGCUUCGGUGCCGCCGAGGACACUUAAACUCUUUGUUUUUAUAAGCAUUUCUGAGUGGUCGAAAGGCAAAAUACAAAUGAAUCAAAACUUUCAACAACGGAUCUCUUGGUUCUG